GACGAACGCUGGCGGCGUGCUUAACACAUGCAAGUCGAGCGGUAAGGCCCUUUCGGGGGUACACGAGCGGCGAACGGGUGAGUAACACGUGGGUGACCUGCCCUCAGCUCUGGGAUAAGCCUGGGAAACUGGGUCUAAUACUGGAUAUGACUCCACGGUGCAUGUCGUGGGGUGGAAAGCCUUGUGCGGCUGAGGAUGGGCCCGCGGCCUAUCAGCUUGUUGGUGGGGUGAGGCCUACCAAGGCGACGACGGGUAGCCGGCCUGAGAGGGCGACCGGGCCACACUGGGACUGAGACACGGCCCAGACUCCUACGGGAGGCGAGCAGUGGGGAAUC
RNAcentral lists this ribosomal RNA (335 nucleotides) under uncultured bacterium. RNAcentral's name for it is "bacterial SSU rRNA". It matches the Rfam family "Bacterial small subunit ribosomal RNA", at positions 28 to 363 of the family's 1533-position model. The record is from RNAcentral.